UAGGGAAUAUUGGACAAUGGGCGCAAGCCUGAUCCAGCCAUGCCGCGUGAGUGAUGAAGGCCCUAGGGUUGUAAAGCUCUUUUGUGCGGGAAGAUAAUGACUGUACCGCAAGAAUAAGCCCCGGCUAACUUCGUGCCAGCAGCCGCGGUAAUACGAAGGGGGCUAGCGUUGCUCGGAAUCACUGGGCGUAAAGGGUGCGUAGGCGGGUCUUUAAGUCAGGGGUGAAAUCCUGGAGCUCAACUCCAGAACUGCCUUUGAUACUGAGGAUCUUGAGUUCGGGAGAGGUGAGUGGAACUGCGAGUGUAGAGGUGAAAUUCGUAGAUAUUCGCAAGAACACCAGUGGCGAAGGCGGCUCACUGGCCCGAUACUGACGCUGAGGCACGAAAGCGUGGGGAGCAAACA
RNAcentral lists this ribosomal RNA (402 nucleotides) under uncultured bacterium. Its description in RNAcentral is "bacterial SSU rRNA". It matches the Rfam family "Bacterial small subunit ribosomal RNA", at positions 355 to 774 of the family's 1533-position model. The record is from RNAcentral.